GAGUUUGAUCUUGGCUCAGGAUGAACGCUGGCGGCGUGCUUAACACAUGCAAGUCGAGCGAAGCACUAAGACAGAUUUCUUCGGGUUGAAGUCUUUGUGACUGAGCGGCGGACGGGUGAGUAACGCGUGGGUAACCUGCCUCAUACAGGGGGAUAACAGUUAGAAAUGACUGCUAAUACCGCAUAAGCACACGUGAUCGCAUGAUCGAGUGUGAAAAACUCCGGUGGUAUGAGAUGGACCCGCGUCUGAUUAGCUAGUUGGUGGGGUAAUGGCCCACCAAGGCGACGAUCAGUAGCCGGCCUGAGAGGUGAACGGCCACAUUGGGACUGAGACAC
RNAcentral lists this ribosomal RNA (335 nucleotides) under uncultured bacterium. RNAcentral's name for it is "bacterial SSU rRNA". It matches the Rfam family "Bacterial small subunit ribosomal RNA", at positions 9 to 327 of the family's 1533-position model. The record is from RNAcentral.